RNAcentral lists this ribosomal RNA (501 nucleotides) under Chileogovea oedipus. Its description in RNAcentral is "eukaryotic LSU rRNA". It matches the Rfam family "Eukaryotic large subunit ribosomal RNA", at positions 666 to 1108 of the family's 3401-position model. Lineage: Eukaryota; Metazoa; Arthropoda; Arachnida; Opiliones; Pettalidae. The record is from RNAcentral.
CCAAGGAGUCUAACAUGUGCGCGAGUCAUUGGGACUUGUUUAUGCCCAUAGGCGAAAUGAAAGUGAAGGCCGGCUGCACGUCGGCCGCGUUGGGAUCCCUCGGACGAGUGCCGGGGGCGCACCAACGGCCCGUCCCGAUCGCAACGUCGACGGGGCGGAGCGAGAGCGCAUACGUUGGGACCCGAAAGAUGGUGAACUAUGCCUGGGCAGGACGAAGCCAGAGGAAACUCUGGUGGAGGUCCGCAGCGAUUCUGACGUGCAAAUCGAUCGUCAGACCUAGGUAUAGGGGCGAAAGACUAAUCGAACCAUCUAGUAGCUGGUUCCUUCCGAAGUUUCCCUCAGGAUAGCUGGCGCUCGGAGGAGGCAUUCUGAUCCGGUAAAGCGAAUGAUUANAGGCCUUGGGGCCGAAACGACCUCAACCUANCCAGAGGAAACUCUGGUGGAGGUCCGCAGCGAUUCUGACGUGCAAAUCNAUCNUCAGACCUANGUAUAGGGGCGAAA